This 1704-nucleotide ribosomal RNA is filed under the name human gut metagenome. Its description in RNAcentral is "bacterial LSU rRNA". It matches the Rfam family "Bacterial large subunit ribosomal RNA", at positions 1108 to 2841 of the family's 2925-position model. The record is from RNAcentral.
AGAAGCAGCCAUACAUUCAAAGAGUGCGUAACAGCUCACUAGUCGAGAGUUCCUGCGCCGAAAAUGUCCGGGGCUGAAACACGACACCGAAGCCGUGGACUCGCAAUGCGAGUGGUAGAGGAGCAUUCUUAAAACCGACGAAGCUGUACCGUAAGGAGCAGUGGAGGGAUAAGAAGAGAGAAUGCCGGAAUGAGUAGCGAGAGAAAGGUGGGAAUCCUUUCGGCCGAAUAUCUAAGGUUUCCAGAGUAAAGCUGAUCUGCUCUGGGUAAGUCGGGGCCUAAGCACAGGUCGCAAGACGUAAGCGAUGGAUAACAGGUUUAGAUUCCUGUACCACGCAUUAUCAGAACUGUAGGGACGCAUGUGGAAAGCACGGGCCGGGAAUGGAAAGACCGGUACAAGCGGGGUAGGUGUACAAUAGGCAAAUCCGUUGUAUAAUCCGAAGACGUGAUGUGGAGCGAAAUAAAGUAGCAAAGCGUGUGAGCCAUGUGCCGAGAAAAGCUGCUAUUGUGUAAUGCGUGCCCGUACCGUAAACCGACACAGGUGGAUGAGGAGAGAAUCCUAAGGCCGACGGAAGAAGCAUUGUUAAGGAAUUCGGCAAAAUGACCCCGUAACUUCGGGAGAAGGGGUGCCUGCGAGAGCAGGCCGCAGAGAAUAGGCUCAAGCAACUGUUUAGCAAAAACACAGGUCUAUGCGAAACCGAAAGGUGAAGUAUAUGGGCUGACGCCUGCCCGGUGCUGGAAGGUUAAGAGGAGAGGUUAGCGCAAGCGAAGCUUUGAAUUUAAGCCCCAGUAAACGGCGGCCGUAACUAUAACGGUCCUAAGGUAGCGAAAUUCCUUGUCGGGUAAGUUCCGACCCGCACGAAAGGCGUAAUGAUUUGAGCACUGUCUCGACAAUGCAUCCGGUGAAAUUGAAGUACCAGUGAAGAUGCUGGUUACCCGCGCCAGGACGGAAAGACCCCAUGGAGCUUUACUCCAGUUUGAUACUGGGAUUCGGUACUGCAUGUACAGGAUAGGUGGGAGACGAAGAAGGAUGGACGCCAGUCUGUCCGGAGUCGCUGUUGGGAUACCACCCCUGUAGUACUGGGUUUCUAACCAGUUGCCAUGAACUGGCAAUGGGACAAUGUCAGGCGGGGAGUUUGACUGGGGCGGUCGCCUCCGAAAGGGUAUCGGAGGCGCUCAAAGGUUCCCUCAGAAUGGUUGGAAACCAUUUGAAGAGUGCAAAGGCAGAAGGGAGCUUGACUGCGACACCGACGGGUGGAGCAGGUACGAAAGUAGGACUUAGUGAUCCGGUGGUAUAAAGUGGGAUUGCCAUCGCUCAACGGAUAAAAGCUACCCUGGGGAUAACAGGCUUAUCACUCCCAAGAGUUCACAUCGACGGAGUGGUUUGGCACCUCGAUGUCGGCUCAUCGCAUCCUGGGGCUGUAGCAGGUCCCAAGGGUUGGGCUGUUCGCCCAUUAAAGCGGUACGCGAGCUGGGUUCAGAACGUCGUGAGACAGUUCGGUCCCUAUCCGGCGCGGGCGGAGGAUAUUUGAGAGGAGCUGUCCUUAGUACGAGAGGACCGGGAUGGACGGACCACUGGUGUAUCUGUUGUCGACCAACGGCAUGGCAGAGUAGCCAAGUCUGGAAGGGAUAAACGCUGAAGGCAUCUAAGCGUGAAGCCCCCCUCAAGAUGAGAUAUCCCUCCUUCGGGAGUAAGACCCCUUGA